CCUACGGGAGGCAGCAGUGAGGAAUAUUGGUCAAUGGACGAGAGUCUGAACCAGCCAAGUAGCGUGAAGGAUGACUGCCCUAUGGGUUGUAAACUUCUUUUAUAUGGGAAUAAAACGUUCCACGUGUGGGAUUUUGUAUGUACCAUAUGAAUAAGGAUCGGCUAACUCCGUGCCAGCAGCCGCGGUAAUACGGAGGAUCCGAGCGUUAGCCGGAUUUAUUGGGUUUAAAGGGAGCGUAGGUGGAUUGUUAAGUCAGUUGUGAAAGUGUGCGGCUCAACCGUAAAAUUGCAGUUGAAACUGGCAGUCUUGAGUACAGUAGAGGUGGGCGGAAUUCGUGGUGUAGCGGUGAAAUGCUUAGAUAUCACGAAGAACUCCGAUUGCGAAGGCAGUUCACUGGACUGCAACUGACACUGAGGCUCGAAAGUGUGGGUAUCAAACAGGAUUAGAUACCCUGGUAGUC
RNAcentral lists this ribosomal RNA (460 nucleotides) under uncultured bacterium. RNAcentral describes it as "partial 16S ribosomal RNA". It matches the Rfam family "Bacterial small subunit ribosomal RNA", at positions 338 to 795 of the family's 1533-position model. The record is from RNAcentral.